UACGGAGGGGGCUAGCGUUGUUCGGAAUUACUGGGCGUAAAGCGCACGUAGGCGGCUUGGCAAGUCGGAUGUGAAAUCCCUCGGCUCAACCAAGGAAGUGCAUCCGAAACUGCUGAGCUUGAGUACUUAAGAGGAUCGCGGAAUUCCCGGUGUAGAGGUGAAAUUCGUAGAUAUCGGGAGGAACACCAGUGGCGAAGGCGGCGAUCUGGGAAGAUACUGACGCUGAGGUGCGAAAGCGUGGGGAGCAAACAGG
This 253-nucleotide ribosomal RNA is filed under the name uncultured bacterium. RNAcentral's name for it is "partial 16S ribosomal RNA". It matches the Rfam family "Bacterial small subunit ribosomal RNA", at positions 524 to 776 of the family's 1533-position model. The record is from RNAcentral.